Molecule: ribosomal RNA, 467 nt
Filed under: uncultured bacterium
Lineage: Bacteria
Description: bacterial SSU rRNA
Rfam family: Bacterial small subunit ribosomal RNA
Source: RNAcentral
CCAGACUCCUACGGGAGGCAGCAGUGAGGAAUAUUGGUCAAUGGACGCAAGUCUGAACCAGCCAAGUAGCGUGCAGGAUGACGGCCCUCCGGGUUGUAAACUGCUUUUAGUUGGGAAUAAAAGGGGGCUCGUGAGCCCCGUAUUGUAUGUACCAUCAGAAAAAGGACCGGCUAAUUCCGUGCCAGCAGCCGCGGUAAUACGGAAGGUCCGGGCGUUAUCCGGAUUUAUUGGGUUUAAAGGGUGCGUAGGCGGGAUGCCAAGUCAGCGGUAAAAUACGGGGGCUCAACCUGCGUCCGCCGUUGAAACUGGCGUUCUUGAGUGGGCGAGAAGUACGCGGAAUGCGUGGUGUAGCGGUGAAAUGCAUAGAUAUCACGCAGAACCCCGAUUGCGAAGGCAGCGUACCGGCGCCCAACUGACGCUGAAGCACGAAAGCGUGGGUAUCGAACAGGAUUAGAUACCCUCGUAAC